AACGUAGGGGGCAAGCGUUGUCCGGAUUUACUGGGCGUAAAGGGCGCGUAGGCGGUCAGCACAAGUCAGUUGUGAAAUCUCCGGGCUUAACUCGGAAAGGUCAACUGAUACUGUGCGACUAGAGUGCGGAAGGGGCAACUGGAAUUCUCGGUGUAGCGGUGAAAUGCGUAGAUAUCGAGAGGAACACCUGCGGCGAAGGCGGGUUGCUGGGCCGACACUGACGCUGAUGCGCGAAAGCCAGGGGAGCGAACGGG
Molecule: ribosomal RNA, 254 nt
Filed under: uncultured bacterium
Lineage: Bacteria
Description: partial 16S ribosomal RNA
Rfam family: Bacterial small subunit ribosomal RNA
Source: RNAcentral